CAGGAUGAACGCUAGCGACAGGCUUAACACAUGCAAGUCGAGGGCAUCACGGGAGUAGCAAUACAACUGGUGGCGACCGGCGCACGGGUGAGUAACGCGUAUGCAACCUACCUAUCAGAGGGGAAUAACCCGGCGAAAGUCGGACUAAUACCGCAUAAAACAGGGGCACCGCAUGGUGAUAUUUGUUAAAGAAAUUCGCUGAUAGAUGGGCAUGCGUUCCAUUAGGUAGUUGGUGAGGUAACGGCUCACCAAGCCGACGAUGGAUAGGGAACUGAGAGGUUGGUCCCCCACACUGGUACUGAGACACGGACCAGACUCCUACGGGAGGCAGCAGUGAGGAAUAUUGGUCAAUGGGCGGGAGCCUGAACCAGCCAAGUCGCGUGAAGGAAGAAGGAUCUAUGGUUCGUAAACUUCUUUUGCAGGGGAAUAAAGUGCAGGACGUGUCCUGUUUUGUAUGUACCCUGAGAAUAAGGAUCGGCUAACUCCGUGCCAGCCGCCGC
This 500-nucleotide ribosomal RNA is filed under the name uncultured bacterium. RNAcentral describes it as "bacterial SSU rRNA". It matches the Rfam family "Bacterial small subunit ribosomal RNA", at positions 25 to 518 of the family's 1533-position model. The record is from RNAcentral.